CCUACGGGAGGCAGCAGUAGGGAAUCUUUCACAAUGGGCGAAAGCCUGAUGGAGCAACGCCGCGUGCAGGAUGAAGGCCUUCGGGUUGUAAACUGCUUUUAUAAGCGAGAAAUAUGAUGGUAACUUAUGAAUCAGGAUCGGCUAACUACGUGCCAGCAGCCGCGGUCCUACGUAGGAUCCGAGCAUUAUCCGGAGUGACUGGGUGUAAAGAGUUGCGUAGGUGGCAUAAUAAGUAGCUAGUGAAAUCUGGUGGCUCAACCAUUCAGACUAUUAGCUAAACUGUUAAGCUCGAGACCGUUAGGGGUAACUGGAAUUUCUAGUGUAGGAGUGAAAGCCGUAGAUAUUAGAAGGAACACCAAUAGCGUAGGCAGGUUACUGGGACGGGUCUGACACUAAGGCACGAAAGCGUAGGGAGCAAACGGGAUUAGAUACCCGGGUAGUC
This 442-nucleotide ribosomal RNA is filed under the name uncultured bacterium. RNAcentral describes it as "partial 16S ribosomal RNA". It matches the Rfam family "Bacterial small subunit ribosomal RNA", at positions 338 to 795 of the family's 1533-position model. The record is from RNAcentral.